Equus caballus (horse) is the source of this 7539-nucleotide long non-coding RNA. NCBI's taxonomy places the organism in Eukaryota, Metazoa, Chordata, Mammalia, Perissodactyla, Equidae. The record is from Ensembl.
AACCGCCACUGCACCAGGUGGGUCCCGCUGAGCCCCUGCGGGUUGCCCUGCAGCCCAGAAGUUUGCGAGAGGCUUUUAGGAGAUUGAAAGCCAGCCACAUAGCUUGUCCAGGGUUAAGACGUCCUGCGGGCUCCUCUGCUGGGGACAGGGGAGCAGGACACCCUCACUGGGCCUGGGCCUGAGAAGGUCAGCCCGGGUCAGGCGGGGUCCUCCACCCCACACACAUUUACCGCAGAGCUGGCAGGCGCAGGGUGAGUCUCUCCUGUCAGCCUGCUGCCGCCCCGCCCCCACCCCCCAAACCCGCAAAGGCCACUUGGAACCCGAGAUGCUGAGGCUGGACACCAGGGGACAGACAGACACACAGACAGGAACCGACAAGCAGAAGAGAGAAGCCAGCUUCUGAAAGAAAAGCAGAGAAAGGGACCCAGCGAGGAGAGAGGGAGACCCAACCCACGAGGUCAUUGGGGUCGGAGCGGACGCGGUCCCCGUGCCACCACAGGGCGCCAGUUCUCAGGCUGCCUUCUCAGCUCAAACGAGCGCCCUGCCCGGAGCACGUGGCUGCGCAUCCUGAGCGGAGCGGCGCGUCCACGGGCAGCCGGGGCGGCCCGCGCAUCCCCGCAGGGAACCGAGCGGGUCCCAGCGGCCCCUCCACGAGCACGGCUUCCACCCUGAGCCUGCACGAACAAAACAGGAAAGGCUUGCGACAGAUUGGGAAUUUCACCCCGAUCUCGAUUUCCAAAGGCGGGCAGGCCGACGACAACGUCCCUCAGGCCUCAGCCUCCUGUGACCUCACGCGGCAGCGCCACGCCCUCCGCAAACGCGGCGUGACCCCAGCACCUGCCGCUCCUCAGCUCCAGGGGCACGCCCGCGCUCAGCCGGGUUUAGAGCCGCCAGAGGGAACACCACCCAUCCGCAUUUGGGAGACAAGGCUGAAUUUCCCAGAACCUGGGUCCGCUCCAACUUUUGUCUCUGACCCCAGAUGCAACUAUAAAAGCACUCAGGAUUUAUUCUUCACCAGGACAAGCUCGAGACAUUUGUGUGCUGUCGCUGAAAGGACCAAACACACAUUCCAGAGGAUCCUCUCUGUUCCUGACUUGGUUCUGGGGCUUAACCUUUGUCGUCUUGGAUCUGGUCCUCACAGCCCGCAUUCCACAGGGUCAGGAGGGUCAGCAGGGGAGAGGCAGGGGGCUGACUGGGGUCUGGCACCCAGGACCUCCACUCCCGCCUCUGGCCUUUCAGAGGCUACCCACCCUCGGCUAACAAGACUGGCUUCUGCGGAACGGAGUGUCGGGCCUCCCAGGGGGACAGAAGAGCCCCCAUGGGAUACGCCUCCCCCUAUAGGUCAGGGCUAGAGUUGGUUGGUGGGAAAGAUAAAUUAGCAAGGCUGAGGGGAGAAAGACAACUUCCUGGGGGACAUGGGAGCGGCUGCCCUCAGUCUUUUGGGAGCAGGCAACACAGAUUCAUGCAGAAACACACACAGGAAUAAGCACAGACACGUGGACACACACAGGUACAAGCACUCACGACUCUCUCUCACACACACACACAAGCAAUCCUGAGCCUCAAGACAGAAGCUUCGGGCCCUUGCAGCUGCCUUCCCUGGAGGGGCAGCCAUGGGACUGGCCCAGAGCCACCUGGCACGCCUCCUGCCUCCUCCCCUUCCCCAGACCUGGGCGGUGCUCCCUGCAUGUCCCCAGGCCUCCGUGGUUCCUGCGGCUGCAGCCUUGGGUGCUCCUGUGCGAGCAAGCACAGCUCCUGGACCGGGCCGCAGGGACGUCUGGAACAGCCUGCAGGCAGGCUCCCCCGCUUCCACAGGACUCUCUCCUUUGGCCUGUCUCCCUGCCUUUCUCUUGGAAUUUCUGCAGGAUUUUGCAGACAAAAUCACUUAGUUCCAGCCACAUAGAUGCAAGAAACAGGUGAGCACCAAGGCGGAGCCAUGCUCCAGAGCCUGCACACAGCAGGAGCCAACCUGGGAUGUGCUGCACCCACCUGAAGCGGGGAACGGAGAGAGAAAUGCCCGGGGGAGGGGAAGGCUCUCCUGGCUGAGAGGCCUAGGGAGUCUCUGCAGGGUGUGGAUGGGCCAGGGUGGCCGAGGACUCAGAGUCCCCGAGUCUGCAGCUUCCUCCUCUCACCUCCCCAGGGACGGGGGAACAGGUCUGGGGCGGCCCGUUGGUAGGUGGAAGGGGAAGCGAGGCCAUAGAAUGUGCCCUUUGACCUUCUGACCACUGUCUUCUGCACCCCAAGAUCUGACCACUGAAAUAGCAAUCAUGACUUUCACGCAGCUUCUUGUAAAGCCGAGCCUUCACUGUGGGCUCUCGGAGCACCAGCAUUUUACCCCAAGUCUGCUGCCUGCCUACGUGUCCACUCCCUGCACCCCUGUUGGCACCUGUGUGUGUCCUGCCCUGGAGCAGCCCCCACACUCCUCUGCACCGGACAAUUCCUAGAAUGAGGAAGGGAUGGAAAUGACCCCAGAAAGUGGAAGAGCACACUGGAAGCGGAAGCAUUGGUCUGUGAUCACUGUUUCUCCCUCCAAAGGGGUUGGGGUGGAAGCCAAGUUGUUUCAGCCCACAGGGGCUCUGUGAAGUCAGGGAGCCUGUGCCAGCGCCCUCCUCCCUCCCUGACCCAUGAACCCAAGUCCCACGGGCCCUGAAUGUGCCAAUCACUCAUUCAUUCAACAAGCAUCCUGGAGCAACCAGGCCCUGGGCACCCUGGUGCUGAGAUGAAAAGUCAGUGUCUGCCCCGGGAGGGACACACCAUGGAGGGAGAGAUAAGACAGCACUACACUCUGCACGUGCCCUGGGAGACGGGCGUUUUAUGAGAAACCUGAACAAGAACGCAACUAACCCCCAGGACUGCAUCUCAGACGGUGGAAUUGGAGGCAUCCGGAGGAGAUACUCAGAAAGGAAUGAAGGAAGACGGGAAGGGAAAAGGAAGGAAGGAAAGAGGAAAGAAGGGAGGAAAGGAGAAAGUGGGGAGAAGAGAUGGAGACCAGUUGCAGCCAAACGCUAUGGCUGCUGGGAAUGGCGAGAAGACUCCUCUGCAUCUGUGCGCGACCAUCCGCGAGAGCCGGCUAGGGAGCCUCCCAGGCCGCAGAGCACCUCGUGGUCAGGACGGGACCUCCUUCACCUGCCCCCAGAGCGGGCUUCUGCAUGAUGCCCAUCCAUGGAGUUGUGCAUUCAUCCCCAGCAUUCAGCAGCUUCCACAGACCAGACCCCGAGGUUGAGGAUUGGGACGCAAGCAGGUCAUGUGGGAGGUGACCCUGGGAAGCACUGCCGUGGGAGUGGGGACGCAGACAGGAGGGGACGACAGCCAGAGCAGUGUGGUGAUAAGUGGCUUGCUGCUGAGGGCUGCCAGAGAGAUGGUCAGAACGGGUCCUAGUUGACCCCUGUCGGGGAGCAGGCUGGAGGGCGCGCAGACCGGCUCCAGUCCAUCCUUGGCUCCUGGGGCACUGCCUCCCCAGCACUCAUGGGCUGCCCUGCACCCUGCAGGCCAAGCCCACACCUACUAGGACAAGGCCCGCGGGAGAGAGGACCGGGUGGGCGUGGGACGGCGCAUGCCAAGGAGCUAUGGGGGUCAGGUCUGCCGCACGCUGAGGGCUUGGCCUGGGGUUAGGAUGAAUCAGACACAGGCCCCGCCCUCAAGGAGCUGUCAGUUGGGACCGGGACUGGGGGCGGGGGGUGCGGGGAACCGACGGACAAGAGACCCGUCCCACAGGACAGCCCCAUGGCCUCGCCACAGCAGCCAUAUUAUCCGUACAAGCAGUCGUCGGAAGUUGGCCUGGCCUCCGGACACAGGGCGAGCAGAAAUCCACGCCUGCCGCCGGCUCCUCUCGCCAGCAGGAGACAAUCCCAGCAAAACCACGCCAUAAACUGAGCCCACGCUCUUCCUCCCACGCAGCAAACCCGUCCCGGGAGAUGAAGGGGAGGAGGGGAGCGUGUCCCUCACCCUGGGAGACAGAAACAGGAGCGCACGCUGCUCCUUCCGCGUCCCGCGGGUGAUUCACUGCCUCACACACAGAGCCCUGAGGGGAAAGGGGGCAGCCGCGACUCUGAAAGCCGGCAUCCCUCCGCUGGCCUUGCACAGCUUGCCUAACCUCUCUGGGUUCCAGGCCCACCGUGGGGAAGCCCCCUGCCCACUGGGCUGCCACACAGCCUGGAACGGGAGGCAGAGUGCUGAGGCCGGCAUCCUGCCCUGCUCCACCGCACCCACUGGGCGCCCGAGGCCGAGCCAGCCCCCUCCGUGUGUGCUCAUCCUCAGGCCUUGUCGCUGCCGCCAGAGCGCGGGCCUCAAGGGAGAAGCCUUCCAGGGCCGCUGUCGGCCUGCGCUAUCAGACUCUCCUUCCACUUUCCCCCGUCCUGCAAGAUAAAGUAGGUUAAUUCAGAAAUGCUAAGAUGGAGUGUCUAAGGGCUGUGCGGCCUGAAUACAGAUCCUGCUGGCUGAGCGCCUGCCUGUUCUCACUGGGGGACUCAGCUCUCCCGGAUUUCCCAAGACACUUUGCUCUGAACUGGCCAGCUUGCCAACCCUCCUCCUCCUGGCUGAGAGGGGGCCUCUGACAGCCUCACCCCACCAACGAGCCCAGGCGGGGGCAGCUCUGGGCCAAAGAGGAGCCUGCCCUCCUCAGGCCUCCCCCUGCCUCCCCCCACCCCCAGGGGAAGAGGCUCCAGAAGCUGCCUGGCCCAGCACGUGAGCCUGUCACGCCCUAUCAGGGAGGCCCUGGGGGGGCACCUCGCUCUUCCUCCCAGGAUGGUCUCUCACCUCCAGACAGCUCCAGAGGGGCCCUUUCCGAGAGCGCCCAGCCCAGCCCAGCAGGAAGGGAUUACACUCUAACCCACUCCAGUCAAGCUGCAGGCAGUGUUCCUCCUCCUGUGCUAAGGGUGGAGACAGGCCAAGGCAGGUCACCAGUCUCCCAGUGCGAGCUGCUGUCACCACAAUCACAGCUCCCUCGCUCCCCAGCAGGACCCUCCAUGAUAUGUUAAUAACGGGAACAAUGGCCAGUUAGGGCGGCUCCCUGUGCGCCAGGCACUGCCCUCACGCUCUCUCAGACACAAUUAUUGGCGCUGCCAGGUCACAGGUCAGGAGGGGGCUGGCGCAGACAAGCAGCUUGGCCAAGGCCUGGCUGUGGAGAGCACAGAGGCAGGAUGCAGAGCAGGCCCCUGACUGCCCACCUGGGCCCCUAAACACCUGCCCCCUGGUGCGGCCCUCAGCACUGGGUGUCAGGAGGCCUGAUCAGUGGCCCCCAGUGCCCAUCAGGCCCCUCCCCCACUCCUUCCGCCUGUGCGCUGGCCCCUCCAGCAGACAGUGUGCAAGUCCAGUGACAGACUGAAUGGCCACAGCCCUGCUCGCCCAUCCUCAGAUCUGUUCAUCCUCACACUCCCAGCCACCCCAUGGCUAAUUCUAGAAAAAUAGCAAGCGUUCCAGUGUGGCACCCUUGCUGAGCAGUCACCAGGCCACCAUCCAUCCAGUCCAGCUCUCCCAGCUUGCUGGCUGGACCCUUGCCCACUCCAGGCCUCAGUCCCUCUGCUGUGUGCAGGAGGCCAGCAGCCCUGAACAGGUGGGUAAAUGGCGACACCACCUUCCCGUCCAGCCCCAUAAUCCCCAGAACCAGAGGGGCAGCUAAACAUCCCCACCUACACCGCAGGCCCUGUAGGGCACCAGGCAACAACAGGAACCCGUGGCCCCCGGAGGACACGAGCUGCCCUGCGAAGCAGAGCACGGCCUGGGAGCCCUCCAGGCUGCCCCUCCACCCCAAGCUGCAGGGGGAGACUCCUGCAGCCCAGCAGCCUCCCAGGAUCUGCUUCCCUGGCCGCUGGCAGGUCUCAGCAAGAUCUCAGCAAGGCUGGCCCAGUGAUGACCGUGCUGCCCCUGGCGCUCAGCAUCCUGCAUCCUUGAAUGUCGAUGUAAAUAAAACGGAGCUCUGUCUGUCUGCCACCACGUUGCAAGAUGGCCAGACAGGUCUUAUUUGAUGGUAGGACGCACCUGCAGAGCUCCCAGUCAAAGGCCCCAGGUGCCCGGUGCAGCCACACAGCCUCCGCCAGGCCCUUGAAGGCGCCUCAGAGAGCGGCUGGCCCCCUCCAGGGCAGCUGAAAUUCAUGUUGGCGGUUGCUUGAGUGCUAUGUCAUUCGUGCAGAGACCCCAGGCACGGAAAGCCAGAGUGGUCUCUGCGGACUCCAAGCUGACGGAGGCCCUGCACAGUGGGCCACGUGGCAGGGACAGAGCGUAUCAUGUGAGGGGCUGGGGUCCCCUGAGCAGCACAGGGUCGGUGGUGAGCCGCAGCAGAGGGAACGAGGCUCACCCUUGACAUGCUCCCAUAUCAGCCAGCGCAACUCCCCGGAGCCCCUCAGCUCUAGGCCAAGGCACGCUGAGCGCUUGCCUCUGGGCUUGUGCAGUCUGUGUGCAAAGGCAGCAGGCAUUAUUUUAACGGUGGCACCCAAGCCCCGCCUCGUCGGGGAGCGUCUUUGUGUAGGGAAUUACUGUUCUUCUCUGGUGAAGCAGGGACAGGUGGGCAGGCACCGCAAGCCCCGCCCUGAGCAGCCUUGAGCACUGCGCCUGCCCAAGGGGCCAGGAAGCAAGGGGUGGGCUGCGGUGGUGGGAGGACUGGACAGGUGAUGGUGGCAGGGAGCAUUCUGGGUGGAGGGCGUGGGGUGGCAGUGAGCAAAGGCUGAAAGCAGAAACGGCACGGUGGCUGGAGCCUUUGGGAGUGGAGCAUGAGGGCCCCAGGGCUGGACGGGAGGAGGACGGAGGGCGAAAGGCAGACGGCUUGGAUGCCAGGCUAGGAGGUGGAGGAAAGCUUCAGAGAGAAGAUGGGCCUUAAUUGGCCUGAAACUCCCUCUGGAGAAGAGCAGAAAGACAGACAAGGCAAAAGAGAGGGAGCGAGGGAGAGAGGCAGAAAGAGGGGAGGCGGCAAUGGGGGCGGAGGAGAGAGACCGGAACGGAGACAGCAGCCAGCGAGCAGGGAAGCAAAUGGGGGCUGGGUCAGACCCAGGGCCCCUGGGAAUCCUCUAGACCCGAGGCCAUGGCUCCCGCCCUCCCUGAGCCUGGGACCAGAUACUCUGCUGUGAGCCUUACCUGUCUGAAGAUAGCAAGCCGGACACUCCAUCCCCCGGUCCUGGGCAGUGGCAGGGCCGUGGGCCUGGGCAGAGGACUCUUGCCUGUGGAGGGGCCAGGAGGCUGCUGUUUGUGGUGCAGAAGUCACUGAGCGGCUGUCCAUCAUGUGACCUUGGGCCCCGGAUGCCCCAUCCUACAAUGGCACAGGCCCGUCCAGCCUGAACUUCUGGGAGGCCCCAGGCUGCAAGGGGCCCCGUGCUCUGCCUGGUGAGGCACCCAAGUGAGCCCCGCUGGGUCUAAUCCUGCCACGCUUACCCACAAGGCGGGAGGGAAAGGCCAGAUUUCACAAUGGGACCAUCUGUUCUAUCGCUUCCCAGCUUCCUGGAUGCUCCUCUGGAAACCCUCUCCGAUAAUGUUCCUGGAUUACAUGCCAAAAAGAGAGGAAACUCUGGACUCGCGACCAUGGGCAUAAAUGCCUAAUUAGCUCAUUCUUUG